UACGGGGGGGGCAAGCGUUGUUCGGAAUUACUGGGCGUAAAGGGCUCGUAGGCGGCCAACUAAGUCGGACGUGAAAUCCCUCGGCUUAACCGGGGAACUGCGUCCGAUACUGGAUGGCUUGAGUAUGGGAGAGGGAUGCGGAAUUCCAGGUGUAGCGGUGAAAUGCGUAGAUAUCUGGAGGAACACCGGUGGCGAAGGCGGCAUUCUGGACCAUUACUGACGCUGAGGAGCGAAAGCCAGGGGAGCAAACGGG
Molecule: ribosomal RNA, 253 nt
Filed under: uncultured bacterium
Lineage: Bacteria
Description: partial 16S ribosomal RNA
Rfam family: Bacterial small subunit ribosomal RNA
Source: RNAcentral